Molecule: long non-coding RNA, 246 nt
Organism: Eufriesea mexicana
Lineage: Eukaryota; Metazoa; Arthropoda; Insecta; Hymenoptera; Apidae
Exons: 3
Source: RefSeq, a predicted model, not a curated record
CAAUUACAACAAAAGACGAAAACACAAAAGGACGAAAAACGUUAAUUGCAUUACUUGCAUGCUGGUUUGUUCUAUGAUCAAGUGUGAAGAGACGGGGAAGAUAAAUUAUUGUUAACAAAUUGAUAUUUCGUUAGAUAUUCGUCCAUUUUUGAAGCUGAUUAUGGCAACAUUCUAUCGAUAAUGUUUAUGUCGAUAAGUUCAAGGAUAUGGUGUAACAAAUUUAUUAUUAAUCGACGAUUAGAAGAU